This 73-nucleotide transfer RNA is filed under the name Candidatus Magasanikiibacteriota bacterium. Its description in RNAcentral is "tRNA-Thr". It matches the Rfam family "tRNA". From Rfam's summary of the family: Transfer RNA (tRNA) molecules are approximately 80 nucleotides in length. Lineage: Bacteria; Candidatus Magasanikiibacteriota. The record is from RNAcentral.
GCCGAUAUAGCUCAGUUGGUAGAGCAAUUCCUUCGUAAGGAAGAGGUCGUCGGUUCGAUUCCGACUAUCGGCU